CGGAGCUGCUCCGGCCCCGCCCGGGGUCGCUCCGUCGCUGCUCCCGGGCAGCCCCGCUGCCGCCCCGCUCCCGCCGCCUCCUUUGCGGGUUCCCCGGCCCGAGCUCGGCAGCUCGGCCGCCGGCCCCGAGCCGCCCGUGUCCGGUGCAGCAGAUCGGGAAGCAGAGCCCCGGGAGGUUGGGCCCCUCGGGCGGAACGCGGGGAGCGCAAUGUCUCCCGCACGGCCGGAGAAGCAUCCCCUGGAGCAGCUUUACCGGGAGGGCCCGCUGCUGGGGAGCGGCGGCUGCGGCAGCGUUUACUCGGGGACACGCCUGGCGGACGGCGCCCCGCUAAGAGGCAGGGAGGGGUCGGAGGAGAGAGGAGGGCGGCAGGCAGCGAGCUCAGCCCGGCGCUCCUUGGUUUGCAGGAACACCAGAGUACAGCCCACCAGAGUGGAUCCUCUUCCACUGCUACCAUGGCCAUUCAGCAACAAUCUGGUCCCUGGGUAUCCUGCUCUAUGAAGUGGUCUGCAGGGACCUUACUUUCUACAAUGAUGAGGACAUUGUCUGGGGCCAGCUUUUCUUCCCAUCCACGUGUCUCAUGGCAUUAAGAAGCCAAGAAAAGCAGACCGUUUCCCUGUGACUGUAGCAGAGUAGGGAGCAUAGCUGAUGAGAUGCUUCUGCCGGUGCUGGGGGAAGUUGUGGAGGAAGAGGCUGAGCGCUCUCCAUCGUAUUUGAGAAGUCCUGGCAGUCUGGUAAAGUUCCCACACACUGGAAAAGGGGAAACAUCCCCCCUGCAGCUUAAAGGCAUCGUGGUCCUCCUGCAAACUGGGGCACAACUGUGGUGUCCUGGAACAUGACAUCAAGCUGGAGAAUGUCAUUGUGGGAUAUGGGCACCAGUGGGGCGAAGCUGAUUGGCUUUGUUUGCAGCACCUUCCUUGAGGACACGCUCUGCACCCAGAUGAAAAAAGAUGAAAGAUGAAAAAGACCUGGUCGGGGCUGGGGGGAUGCAGCCACCCUGGCCCAGGCUGGGGAAGCCAGCCCGACAAAAACAUGGCAAGGUGGCAGAGGACGGAAUUCCGCACCCACGUGCCGGCUGUUUUCAUUUGCAGGCCCUUGAGGAAGGGCUGGGGCUGGGAAAGUUGGGGUUUUUCCCUGCCUAUGGGGAGCUUUAUUCCUUGCUUGGAGUAGUCAAACCUUCCCCAGGCCUGUGAUACAUUGAUAACAUUUUACGUUAUUCUUGUUUCCAAGUCUUGGUUUUAAUUUACUUUCAUGCAGUUGUUAUUUGUUUUUUAAAGGAAGAUUCUACCAUGUGCCUGGACCAGACUGGGAAGUGCUGGGACUGUGGAGUGGAUUGAUCCCACUGCCAGUGCUACUCUGGCCAUGACCCUUCAAGACGGACAAGAACAUUAUCUGGGAUCAGCUUCUCUUCCAGCAGUGGGUCUCUUGAGGUGGGUACCCAGCUUCAUGGCAUGGGUGCCAGAACGGGUUUUGGAAGAUGGCAGCAGGCACACGAGCACUCUGCUCUUGCAGAAUCAACUGAGAAGGUUGAUCUCCCAUGGUUAGCUGGAGGAGGUGGCUGGCACAUCCUGCCAUCCUGCUCUCCUCCAAAACAGAGAAUGGACUGGGAGGUCUGGGCUCUGAGCACACCCAGCGGCAUGGCCUGGGCACUGCGGACAGUGGGACAGGGUGGACAGGAGCCUUCUCCCACUGUCUGUUGGCUUCUGGUUUCUCUCCCCAGGGGCCCAACACCUCAUCACAUUGAAACAGCAUCAUCGGCCUGCAAAUUUGGGGGGCAGGGGGUGUUUAUUUGCUGUCAAAAAUAAAUCUUUUUUUUUGUAA
Molecule: long non-coding RNA, 1819 nt
Organism: Pseudopipra pipra
Lineage: Eukaryota; Metazoa; Chordata; Aves; Passeriformes; Pipridae
Exons: 2
Source: RefSeq, a predicted model, not a curated record